This is a long non-coding RNA of Trichomycterus rosablanca, 465 nucleotides long. RefSeq lists it as uncharacterized. NCBI's taxonomy places the organism in Eukaryota, Metazoa, Chordata, Actinopteri, Siluriformes, Trichomycteridae. The transcript has 4 exons. The record is from RefSeq and is a predicted model, not a curated record.
ACCUGAAGUCAUCUAGUGCCAUCUAGUGUCCACUUUAAAGAAAUGUACUUUAAUACUACAGUAAAUUGGCACUGAAACUUCAGGUACCUUCUAUCCAUCAAAGUCCUGGACCAGCACCGACCCCCGGAUCAUCUCCACCAAAACAGCACUGCACGCCAUGACUCUGAGGCAGGACGAAUGAGAAAUCAAGAAUGAGAGGGAAUCGAUGAUGAAGCUCGUGUUUCUCUGAUCAGAUUAGUGGAGCGUUUAAGGAGCACGGGGUGAGAGAGAAAAGCAGGAUAAGACAAGCAGCAUGUUUUUGCUUUUGUUGGUCUGCUGGCUGUUGUUUGGAGGUUCUCACACUGAGAUGAACUAAUACCAGGAGCUGCUACAUUGUCUUCCAAACAAUGGUUUACCUCCUCAGGUCAUUGGAAAGUACCAUUUUUCCUAGUGCCCCUCCUAGCUGUACCCAGCUUAUAAAGGUAA